This 466-nucleotide ribosomal RNA is filed under the name uncultured bacterium. RNAcentral's name for it is "partial 16S ribosomal RNA". It matches the Rfam family "Bacterial small subunit ribosomal RNA", at positions 28 to 507 of the family's 1533-position model. The record is from RNAcentral.
GACGAACGCUGGCGGCGCGCCUAACACAUGCAAGUCGAACGAGCGAGAGAGAGCUUGCUUUCUCGAGCGAGUGGCGAACGGGUGAGUAACGCGUGAGGAACCUGCCUCAAAGAGGGGGACAACAGUUGGAAACGACUGCUAAUACCGCAUAAGCCCACGGGUCGGCAUCGACCAGAGGGAAAAGGAGCAAUCCGCUUUGAGAUGGCCUCGCGUCCGAUUAGCUAGUUGGUGAGGUAAUGGCCCACCAAGGCGACGAUCGGUAGCCGGACUGAGAGGUUGAACGGCCACAUUGGGACUGAGACACGGCCCAGACUCCUACGGGAGGCAGCAGUGGGGAAUAUUGCACAAUGGGGGAAACCCUGAUGCAGCGACGCCGCGUGGAGGAAGAAGGUCUUCGGAUUGUAAACUCCUGUUGUUGGGGAAGAUAAUGACGGUACCCAACAAGGAAGAGACGGCUAACUACGUG